UUGAUAAGUUUUCUUGUGUGUGAUCCGUUGGGUUCCAUACUUAGCCAGCAAUAGGUGUGAGUGCGAGUUGACCCAACUUGAUUAGAACUCUUCUAAUCGAUUUAAGUCCAAACUGCGCCAACCCGAACUUAACAAUUAGAAUCCUUUCUAAUUGGUGAUCGAAUUAAACUUUUUAAUUCGAUCAAACCUAUAAGACAAG
This 199-nucleotide long non-coding RNA is filed under the name Phoenix dactylifera (date palm). RNAcentral describes it as "long non-coding RNA (PDAC_LNC011978)". Lineage: Eukaryota; Viridiplantae; Streptophyta; Magnoliopsida; Arecales; Arecaceae. The record is from RNAcentral.